ACUCUUCAACCCUCCGGUUCCUUGUUGGACCGAGUAGGUGUUUGGAUUCUGACUGUUGCAGACUUGUCUGCUCAGUCGUAAUACAUUAGCCCUCUCAAUUUCGAACUUCGGAUUGACUCAGCGUAAUAGACUAUUCGCUGAGGACACCUCACGGUGGCCGAACAGUAGAUGACAGUAGAAGCUACCAAUCCAUCUAGUCAAAUCUUAG
Molecule: unclassified non-coding RNA, 208 nt
Filed under: uncultured Sporidiobolales
Lineage: Eukaryota; Fungi; Basidiomycota; Microbotryomycetes; Sporidiobolales
Description: sequence contains ITS2
Source: RNAcentral